GUAAGGGCACCACAAGAACGCGUGGAGCAUGUGGCUUAAUUUGACUCAACGCGGGAAAUCUUACCGGGUCCGGACACACUGAGGAUUGACAGGCAAUAUUAAUACGUUUUGCUUCGGUAACAUCGUAUUAUGUUAAAUAUGCUAGUCCUUUCAUGAUUAUGUGAUAGGUGGUGCAUGGCCGUUCUUAGUUCGUGGAGUGAUCUGUCUGCUUAAUUGCGUUUCACUAAGGGCCUAUAAAUUUACGUGUGUUGCAUCGCACUUUGACCCCUUUCUUUAAUUAGAGAGCGCGUGUCUUAGUUUUCGCUUUGCUCAUACAAUUAGGUCCUGAAAGCAACGAACGUGACCGCAACCUCUUGUUGCCUUUAUACCAAACAUGUUUUGCGUCAAUUUUCGAAUUGCGCGCAUUUCAUGAAAAAAGGCUUUUUAAACUAGAGGGACCGCUGUUACUUUCUUAAACCAGAGGAAGGUUGCGGCAAUAACAGGUCUGUGAUGCCCUUAGAUGUCCGGGCUGCACACGUGCUACAAUGAUUAUUGCAGUGAGCAUCUCAUUUUUACACACCGCAUGCGCGAGCCAUUUAUUCACCUUCGGGUGUUUUAAAUGUGUAUCUCUGCGCGCGGUAAAGCCUGCUUCGACAGUAAGUGGGUAAUCAAUUAGAAGUAAUGAUUUCCUUUUUUUUAGCACACAUAUAUACGGCGUCUAUGCCCGGGUUACCUUGUUGUAGCUUUUGUGCGUAUAGAUGUUUUUUCCGUAUGUGCGAUUGUCAAUUCAUGGUGGGGACAGACCAUUGUUAAUUGUUGGUCUCGGUCUUAACUAGGAAUGCCUUGUACGGGUCUUUGGUUCAACAAACCACCCGGAAUACGUCCCUGCCCUUUGUACACACCGCCCGUCGCUCUUACCGAUGGACUUCUCUGUGAUUUGAGGGACUGGGAACGCAGGAAUUUAUUUCUGCACACCUAUGGAAACUUAAACGAACAGUGUGGUCUAAAGGAAAGAGAAGUCGUAACAAGGCAUAGAAAG
RNAcentral lists this ribosomal RNA (1018 nucleotides) under Cibicidoides cicatricosus. Its description in RNAcentral is "bacterial SSU rRNA". It matches the Rfam family "Eukaryotic small subunit ribosomal RNA", at positions 1158 to 1808 of the family's 1831-position model. Lineage: Eukaryota; Foraminifera; Rotaliida; Anomalinidae. The record is from RNAcentral.